Tachysurus fulvidraco (yellow catfish) is the source of this 911-nucleotide long non-coding RNA. RefSeq lists it as uncharacterized. Lineage: Eukaryota; Metazoa; Chordata; Actinopteri; Siluriformes; Bagridae. The record is from RefSeq and is a predicted model, not a curated record. The transcript is spliced from 3 exons.
AUAUAAUAACUAAAUAGGUAUUUCUCUGCUCUCAGCACUGAUUGUGAAGGCCCUGUCAACAAUAUACAAACUUAUCCUAAGUGAUUCAUAUGUAACCAAAAGGGAAAUAUUUUAUAAUGACCCCCAGUUAUUUGGAUCACAGAAGACUUUGGAUGCCAUUGUUGAUGAUGUAUCAUGCCUGCUCAAAGUUCCUCGGAGGAGCCUACAUGUGUGUGCCACUACUAAAGGAUUAAUCUCUGGCGAUCUGUGUUACAUGGAGGAGGAUGGGACAAGGGUGGAUUGUAGUUCAACUGUAAGUCAGCAACACUGCUAAGCUCUAUUGUGAUGUUAGUGUAUCGUCCACACACGGAGAAGGAAGUGUGCUUGUGUUCCUGUUUGUGUUUCUGGUUUUAUUGUGUUUCUGGCCCUUUGUAAUUUAUUGACUAAAAAAAACCCUUUUACGUUAUCCCUGCACUUGGGUCUGUAUUUUAUCUGUUAAGACACCCGCUUUCUCUGACAAAAAAAAAAAAAACAAAGGCAAAGAAACACUAGGUUCAUUGUACCAGUCAACCAGUAUAAAUGGGGUGACAUUCAUUGAAACACAAGGAACAGGUGUGCCGGGCUAUCACACAUACAACAAAGGCACAUGGCACAAAUAAACAAAGCCUGCCAGAAUGUCCCCCUGAUGUUCGGGCAGGGAAUAGUCCCAGCCAUACCUGAUAUUACCAGUUAGUUGCAGAUUGUUUGUUCACAAAUAGCUCUCUAGCAUCUAACUCACUAGCCUUACAACUUAUUCUCCUAACAACAUGCGUAUUUCUGAAGAAGCAAUUACACAUGCAUCACCUUGUUUGCUUGCUUAAUCUCUGCACUUGUGUUUGUAAAUAUGCCUAUAGAUUAGAUUAGAUUAAAUUGAUUCAACUUUAUUGUCAUUA